CGGUAAUACGUAGGUGGCAAGCGUUGUCCGGAAUUAUUGGGCGUAAAGCGCGCGCAGGCGGCCUUUUAAGUCUGAUGUGAAAGCCCCCGGCUCAACCGGGGAGGGCCAUUGGAAACUGGAAGGCUUGAGUACAGAAGAGAAGAGUGGAAUUCCACGUGUAGCGGUGAAAUGCGUAGAGAUGUGGAGGAACACCAGUGGCGAAGGCGACUCUUUGGUCUGUAACUGACGCUGAGGCGCGAAAGCGUGGGGAGCAAACAGGAUUA
This 263-nucleotide ribosomal RNA is filed under the name Exiguobacterium sp. RNAcentral describes it as "partial 16S ribosomal RNA". It matches the Rfam family "Bacterial small subunit ribosomal RNA", at positions 518 to 780 of the family's 1533-position model. Lineage: Bacteria; Bacillati; Bacillota; Bacilli; Caryophanales. The record is from RNAcentral.